RNAcentral lists this ribosomal RNA (253 nucleotides) under uncultured bacterium. Its description in RNAcentral is "partial 16S ribosomal RNA". It matches the Rfam family "Bacterial small subunit ribosomal RNA", at positions 524 to 776 of the family's 1533-position model. The record is from RNAcentral.
UACGGAGGUUGCAAGCGUUGUUCGGAAUAACUGGGCGUAAAGGGAGCGCAGGCGGUUUGACAAGUCUAAAGUGGAAGCCCGGGGCUUAACCUCGGAAGUGCUUUGGAUACUAUCGAACUCGAGUUCGUGAGAGGAAAGCGGAAUUCCAGGUGUAGCGGUGAAAUGCGUAGAUAUCUGGAGGAACACCGGUGGCGAAAGCGGCUUUCUGGCACGAUACUGACGCUGAGGCUCGAAAGCGUGGGUAGCAAACGGG